This 802-nucleotide ribosomal RNA is filed under the name uncultured bacterium. Its description in RNAcentral is "bacterial SSU rRNA". It matches the Rfam family "Bacterial small subunit ribosomal RNA", at positions 8 to 796 of the family's 1533-position model. The record is from RNAcentral.
AGAGUUUGAUCAUGGCUCAGGACGAACGCUGGCGGCGUGCUUAACACAUGCAAGUGGAGCGACGAACCGGGCUUCGGCCCGGGGCAAAGCCGCGAACGGGUGAGUAACACGUGGGUAACCUGCCCCGAUAACCGGGACAACCCGAGGAAACUCGGGCUAAUACCGGAUGUGCUCUCUUCACAUCAGUGAUUUGAGUAAAGGUAGCUUCGGCCUCCGUAUCGGGAUGGGCCCGCGGCCCAUUAGCUUGUUGGUGAGGUAAAGGCUCACCAAGGCCGCGAUGGGUAGCUGGUCUGAGAGGACGAUCAGCCACACUGGGACUGAGACACGGCCCAGACUCCUACGGGAGGCAGCAGUGGGGAAUCUUGCGCAAUGCGCGAAAGCGUGACGCAGCAACGCCGCGUGGGUGAAGAAGGCCUUCGGGUUGUAAAGCCCUUUCAGGAGGGACGAAGCUUCGGUCGUUAAUAGCGGUCCGGAGUGACGGUACCUUCACAAGAAGCCCCGGCUAACUACGUGCCAGCAGCCGCGGUAAUACGUAGGGGGCAAGCGUUGUCCGGAAUCAUUGGGCGUAAAGAGCGCGUAGGCGGUCCGGUAAGUCCGCUCUGAAAGUCCGGGGCUCAACCCCGGGAGGCGGGCGGAUACUGCCGGGCUAGAGUCCGGAAGAGGCGAGUGGAAUUCCUGGUGUAGCGGUGAAAUGCGCAGAUAUCAGGAGGAACACCGAUGGCGAAGGCAGCUCGCUGGGACGGUACUGACGCUGAGGCGCGAAAGCGUGGGGAGCAAACAGGAUUAGAUACCCCCGUAGUCC